RNAcentral lists this ribosomal RNA (420 nucleotides) under uncultured microorganism. RNAcentral's name for it is "bacterial SSU rRNA". It matches the Rfam family "Bacterial small subunit ribosomal RNA", at positions 9 to 428 of the family's 1533-position model. The record is from RNAcentral.
GAGUUUGAUCGUGGCUCAGAUUGAACGCUGGCGGCAUGCCUUACACAUGCAAGUCGAACGGCAGCAUGAUCUAGCUUGCUAGAUUGAUGGCGAGUGGCGAACGGGUGAGUAAUACAUCGGAACGUGCCCUGUAGUGGGGGAUAACUAGUCGAAAGAUUAGCUAAUACCGCAUACGACCUGAGGGUGAAAGUGGGGGACCGCAAGGCCUCAUGCUAUAGGAGCGGCCGAUGUCUGAUUAGCUAGUUGGUGGGUAAAGGCCCACCAAGGCGACGAUCAGUAGCUGGUCUGAGAGGACGAUCAGCCACACUGGGACUGAGACACGGCCCAGACUCCUACGGGAGGCAGCAGUGGGGAAUUUUGGACAAUGGGCGAAAGCCUGAUCCAGCAAUGCCGCGUGUGUGAAGAAGGCCUCGGUUGUAA